Molecule: ribosomal RNA, 288 nt
Filed under: uncultured bacterium
Lineage: Bacteria
Description: partial 16S ribosomal RNA
Rfam family: Bacterial small subunit ribosomal RNA
Source: RNAcentral
UCCUACGGGGCGCAGCAGUGGGGAAUAUUGCACAAUGGGGGGAACCCUGAUGCAGCGACGCCGCGUGAGUGAAGAAGUAUUUCGGUAUGUAAAGCUCUAUCAGCAGGGAAGAAAAUGACGGUACCUGACUAAGAAGCCCCGGCUAACUCCGUGCCAGCAGCCGCGGUAAUACGGAGGAUGCGAGCGUUAUCCGGAUUUAUUGGGUUUAAAGGGUGCGUAGGCGGGCAUUUAAGCCGGCGGUCAAAUGUCGGGGCUCAACCCCGGCCUGCCGUCGGAACUGGGUGCCUU